Molecule: ribosomal RNA, 633 nt
Filed under: uncultured bacterium
Lineage: Bacteria
Description: bacterial SSU rRNA
Rfam family: Bacterial small subunit ribosomal RNA (bases 1-544)
Source: RNAcentral
CCUACGGGAGGCAGCAGUAGGGAAUCUUCCACAAUGGGCGAAAGCCUGAUGGAGCAACGCCGCGUGAGUGAUGAAGGCCUUCGGGUUGUAAAACUCUGUCAUUCGGGACGAACCGGAGUCUGAGGAAAUGCAGACUCUCUGACGGUACCGGAGGAGGAAGCCCCGGCUAACUACGUGCCAGCAGCCGCGGUAAUACGUAGGGGGCAAGCGUUGUCCGGAUUCACUGGGCGUAAAGCGCGCGCAGGCGGUGAUGUAAGUCUGAGGUGAAAACCCGAAGCUCAACUUCGGGACUGCCUUGGAUACUGCGUCACUUGAGGAUAGGAGAGGCAAGGGGAAUUCCACGUGUAGCGGUGAAAUGCGUAGAGAUGUGGAGGAACACCUGUGGCGAAGGCGCCUUGCUGGCCUAUUUCUGACGCUGAGGCGCGAAAGCGUGGGGAGCAAACAGGAUUAGAUACCCUGGUAGUCCACGCUGUAAACGAUGAGUGCUAGGUGUAGGUGGGCUCAUACCCAUCUGUGCCGAAGCUAACGCAUUAAGCACNCCGCCGUGGGAGGUACGGUCGCGAGACGUAGUAACGUUAAAGGUAAGUAGUUACGGCGUUGAGAGAGCGACGGACGACGACGAGGGAGGUUAGG